This 30-nucleotide small RNA is filed under the name Bombyx mori (domestic silkworm). Its description in RNAcentral is "ovarian small RNA-15673". The record is from RNAcentral. Lineage: Eukaryota; Metazoa; Arthropoda; Insecta; Lepidoptera; Bombycidae.
GAGAAUCAUAACUUACCUAUCUUGGGCCUC